UCGGCGUAAAAUAGUGAGAAGCCGAUAUGGGGAAGUGAUCGACCCUUGGGAUAAGUUUAAAUUUUCUUUUUUUUACUCCAUAAAUAAACUUUUUACCGUGGGCAAAAAGAUUCUUCUUGGGGUAUAAAAAAAAAAUCAAAUUUAAAUUUAGCUCAAUGGUUGAUGAUGUAUUUUCCCCAUGAAGGUUGCUCACUAUUUUACCCUAA
This 206-nucleotide microRNA precursor is filed under the name Medicago truncatula (barrel medic). Its description in RNAcentral is "MIR2670 microRNA precursor family". It matches the Rfam family "MIR2670 microRNA precursor family". Lineage: Eukaryota; Viridiplantae; Streptophyta; Magnoliopsida; Fabales; Fabaceae. The record is from Rfam by way of RNAcentral.